GUGAGAUCCCUUGAGACCUCCACCUCUGGUUCUUUAAAAACCUCACUUGGAUCUGACACGAGCUUCCAUAACACAGGAACCCAGAAAUCCGAAUGGACUUUCUCCAUAGGAAAUCACCCUUACCAAAAGAAACACCUUAGCAAUACCCAACCUUCUCCUGAAACUCAACACGCUUCCAAAGCGCUACUCUGAUCCUUACUCUUU
Molecule: long non-coding RNA, 204 nt
Filed under: Manihot esculenta (cassava)
Lineage: Eukaryota; Viridiplantae; Streptophyta; Magnoliopsida; Malpighiales; Euphorbiaceae
Description: long non-coding RNA (MESC_LNC012342)
Source: RNAcentral